ACAGGAUAAGGGCUCUCCCAGCCCAUCCCUGCUCCCAUCGGCCGGAGCUGUGCCCGGGGCUGCAGGGACCGGACCCGGAGCCGGGGCUGUGUCAGCUCCGCCCGGACCGCGGGGCGGCGGCGGAGCCACGAACCCGCCUGGGGAGCGCCGGCUCUGGAGGUAACCUGGAAAUAAAUAACUGCGCUCGUAGGAGCUUAGGGCUUACACGCUUGACUAAAUGGGAAAAACCUUGGUUUCUUUCUUUGCGAUGUUGCAGGCGCUGCAGGAGAGCUCAAACUCACAGCAGCUCCCGCUCAGGGAAGGAGCAGCUGCUGCCGGGAGAGGCUCAGCUGCAAAAGGCAUCUUUGUGUUCAUAGCGCUACUCAUGUUUCCUUCACAGCUUUGCCAAAUGCAACAAGCUUAAAGAAUGGUUGUUCAAUGAGAAGAAACGAGUUCGGCCGGCUACAAGUCCUUCCUGUGUUACCUCAAGUCCCACCUUAGGUGGAGUCAGCCUCAAAGUAAAGGGAUUUACUUUGCUGCUGGGAUGCAGAGGGAAGGCUGCUGAAUAGCUGUGAACUUUACAGUGCCAAACACAGGUCUGGCCAAGGCCCAGCAGCUGGCUGCACAUCUGGCAGUUCUCCUACAGCCAGUGCCGCGGUCUUGAAUUUCUGUUUCUGGCUCUAUUUCUUGUGUCCAGUACAAGAGGAAAGUUUUGAAAGGAAAACUGAUAGAUCUGCCUGCAUGCCUGGCACUGAGACCUGCAAGAGAAGUUGUGUGGCUCUGCGGAGCUCUGCAAGUCCUCACUGCAGCCACGAUCCACCUCCCCUGGAUCCUCCCCUCUCCCUGUUCCCGUCAGCUCUCUCUGGGAGGGGCCCCCACACCUCCUGAAGGUACAGAAGCUUCUCCUGUGCCCUCGAGGCCAAUCCCCUCUGCUGCCCGAGCCACAACCUGCAAUCUGGAGUGCAGAAAUGGCCACUGUGGCCACUCUAGUCGUGCCUCCAGUGGCUGACAGGGACUGUGAUGCUUUGCUUUACUCUGGUGCUUUGUCUGAAUUUUGUGUGCAGGAGCAGGGACUGGGCUGUGUCUGCUGUGCUCUGUUGUCUGUUUGCUUUCCCUGAAGCCUUCCUAGAGGAAUUAUUUGUUAAACAAAUUGAAUGUGUUGGGAAUAACACACAAUGGUUCAUAAUUCUCUGUCAUGUACCACUGAGUCCAGUGGGGAUUUCUGCUACAUCACUAGCGCAGUGCUGGGGCUGAAGACAGCACUCUGGGAGGUGCUGCAGCUGCUGAAGACAUGACCAUAUUCAUUGACAAGCAGAAUUAAUUUGUUGGGUUUUGUUUGCAGGGAUUUUACCAGAGUAAAAUCCCACUUAUUUUCCGUUUCAGUGCCAUGAAAAGUGUAUUGAUUUUUCUUCACUUCUGAUUGUUCACAUUACUGGAUUGCUUUUAAAUAGUUGACAGAGAUCAUUCAUUUUCCAGCUCCAACAUAUUUUACAGCCUGCUCCCUGUUUUAUUUGUGUGCUCUGGGGGAGUUGCACAGUCAUUCAUCACUCUGGUCACCUUCUGCAAGCGGCAGCCCCGGCAGCAGGGAGGAAACUCUUCCCCCGCGGGGUUUUUGCUCCUCCUGCCUUCUCCCUGGCAGCUUCUGCACCUGUUCCACCUUAGAGGUGGAGCUGAGGCUCAAAACCUCUCCAAGCCAAAGAGCAGAGCAGGCCAAAGCAAUAAGGAGGCCGCAGAAGGAUGAGAGGUGCUGGCUGGUGAGAGGGCAUUAAGGGCUGUCCUGGUGUUGGUGAGCGAGGAUGAUGAGCUGAGCAGGGAGGGGCAGCAUCCUUCAGCCCACACACAGAGAAUGAGGGAGCUCUGGGCAUCCCUUCAGUGCGGAGCCCGCGGGCUUUGGAAUUCUGCCCCAGCCCAGCUCCACCCUUCCCCUGAGCUGCGCCGCCUCUCGGGCCGAGCCCUGUGGGAACAGGGAUUGUCCCUGUUUGCUGGCACAGUCCCUAAAGCAGUGGGGCCCUGAUUUCACAGAGGCCUCAGGCGGCAGGGAGACAGUGCUAAUAAUGAGAAUUAAUUAUUCAUUUAUCACUUCACUCUCAGUGAGUAAUCUCCAAUAAUCAUGUAUAAUUUGCUGCUUCAGUGAAUACUUUGAUACUAAACAGAGCUGGUAGAAUAAAGUCACAGAAGUGAAAACCCCAUGUAAAAGAAGUGAGAAAAUGGUCAAGACUAAAAAAAUGAUCUAAGAAAUAUUUGUGCAUAAUCAUUUGCCCAGAUCUAGUUGUGUCCUGGAUAAACACAUGGAAGGCAGAUAGAGACAUAGAUUGCUCAAUCUCUUCCCCAGCUCUUGUUAGAGUCAGAGAUCACAGUGUGACCCCAAACAGAAGCCUAGGUUCUGUGUCCAGAGGAUAGUCCAGGAGAUCAUUUUGCCUUCUUUAACCUCCUUCUGGGAUGAAGGAAGUGCAGCAAGGGAAAGCUGCUUGGCACUGAAGCAAUUAAGUGGGGAAUUAAGUAUUCAGCAGGCCUAAAUGAUUGGGACAUCCAGAGCGCAGGUCUGCCCUGGGGAGUCAGGGAAAGCUCCUCCAGUGCUGCUCAGGGUGAGUUUGCACGGUUUGUGAUCGUUCAAUGACUUUGAUUUUCCCCUCUGCCUUUUCCCUUCCCAUGGCUACUGAGUGCUUGGCCACAGGGCUGUGCUCACCCACACCAGGGGCAUUUAUUGCAAAGCUGUUUGUGACAAAGGCAGAUCCCAGCUGUGCUGGGCCGUGGUGUUGUUAUGGGAAACUGCUGAAAUACUGUCUGUUCCCACAUGGAAAUCUCUCUCAGAAGCAGAUUGCACGGUUGUAUUUUACACUGUGGUGCCUGCUCACAUUAUCCCUCGCUGACGUACAGUGAUGAUGCACAUGUUGGAUCCACAAUGCUGAGAGAAUUAACGCUUUGGAAGUGUUUACCUCCCCCAUUAUGGAUGUUCUGCCAGUAGCAGUGUGCUCAUAUUCUCUGCACAGAAAUUAAAGGCACUGAUAAAAAUCACUGAGCUUCUCUUCUCAUCUAAAUCUCCAGGUUACGCAGCAGUGGCUGCAUUGGGCAGCAUCUCUCCUCACACCCUGGGAGUGCUGGGCGGCUCAGCCAUGCUGGUAAACAACUUUAUGAUAAUGCAGAUUAUGCAAAUGUACCAGUUUUCCUAUCAUUUCUUGUGCUGCCUAUGGGAGCAAGUAUUUUCUGGUGUGUGAGCUGGCUGCAGCAUUCAACCUGCUGCCUUUUUUAAAAAAUGCUUUAUAGGAGCAGAACUGUCUUCAGAGGUUCUCUCGCCUGAUACCUGAACUAGUGGCUGUGAACACGACGUGCACCGUGUGAAGCCAAAUAACCCUCCAGGAAUUCUUUCUAUUAAAAUAAUUGCUAGGGCAGGGGAAUACUGCAAACAGCUGUGGUUCAUCCCAUAAACAUAUUCUGCCUCCUUUGGAACCUCAGCCUCCAACUGAUGCCAGAGCCUGUCAGCUGCAGGAGCAGUGGAACAUAUUUCCUUUGCAGAAAUGAAACGAUUACUGAUGAAUAAAUCUGUUGUGCACAGACCUGAACUCCCCAGUGCGUGCUGCAUAUGCAAAAGGGAAAAGUGGCAGUGUUUCACCCUGGAAGGAGCUGGAGCGACAAUUCAUCUGCUGAAGGCGCUGGCUGUGGAGCUGCCUUGUGUCACUGAGCGUGAGGAAAAAUCCCCCACGUCAGUCCAGCAGUGAAUGGCAUCACCUUGCCAUGCAGGGCCCUUGCUCUGGCAGGGAAGCAGCUGUCCCAUGUCAUGGAUGGGCUGAGAGCAGGCUCCCUGCAGGCCCAGCAUCCUCCUUUGGCAGUCUGGUGGCCAAGGGCUGAGCUGGGGAGGACAGGAGGGCCCUGGGACCAGAGGGGCCGGGGGUCCCUGGGCUGGGGCAAUGGGUGCUUCCAGGCUGAUUGCUGCUACAGAAACCCAGGCAAGAGCUGAGCCCCUGGCUGCACUGAUCCCACGAGGUGAUGCCUGGAGUGGAGGGGGAGAUGGGAUGGACCAGAGAAAACCCUGCUCCGCAUCUGUGAGGGGACAGGAAGCAGAAAUCUCAGAGGUCACUGAGACCUGUACGUGCCCGGUUUCACGGGCUCCGCGUUGUCUGGCAAAGCCAAACCCUCUGGCAGGCCCGUUUAUUUCUGUCAGUCCCGUCUGAGUGCAGGAGGUGGGCAGGGGACACGGGCACUGAUGGCCCUGGUGUGCAGGCGAGCUGUCCCCAGCCCCUGUGCCACAGUUCCUGCAGGAGUGGGAGCAGCGCUCGCCCAGCCCCACCGCUGCCUGUCAGGCUGCUCAAACAGCCGGCACUGCACUGGCAAAUGUUGUUAAUCAAGAGCCACAGUUCAAGGCAUUUGACUGGCACAUCCAGUCAAGUGGCAGCAAACACGCUGUAAAACCACUGUGCUGAGGCCACCUUCCUAAUGAAGGCAAAGUGGGAGCAAUCAAUCAGGGCCGGCAGCCAGGCUGGCACCGCCUCUGCAAAUGCAAAUUGAACGAACAAUAAUGAGCGUUAUCUAAUUAGUGCACACAGCUGCAAUGUUACAGCCCUGUAUAGGACACACCUUGUUAAAUUUCAUGGUAUGUAUCCCAGAGUGUCUGAGAAAAUGAUGGAGGUUUGCCACGUGCACACCUUGUAGAGCACAGCCAGGUAGAAUCGUGGUGAUAAAUGCAUUAUUCUCAGCAGGUGCGCUCUGGAUUGAGCAGUGCCAGGAUGGCCACAGACUGGGAGUGGACCCUGCUGUGGAAGGGUCAGCCCUCAGUGAACUCCUCCUGCACUGCAGCUCCAGCACCUGCUCUUACACCAGGAGGAAGAACACCCGGGGCCAAAUUCUUCCAUGAGACACUUUUAUACAAAUCCAUGUCAGAAAUUUGGUGAAAGAAAUAUUUCAGGCAAUUCUUUCGCCUUUGUUGCUUUAAUGUUCAGCAAUAUCUGUUCUUCCUGUAAGAUCCCUGGUGACACUGCAGGGGAUGGUGGGAUGGUGUUUAAAUAUUGAUGUUUUAGCAGCUUAUGGUUUUAAUACAAUUUAAAUUAUGCACAUUUUUAUUGGUCUCAUAGGUUCAUCAGCAAUUAGUCUCCCCCAGCUGCACAGGAGGGUGUUCAGCAGCUCUGUAUUGAUUUCUGCCUCAGCCUCUGCGUUUUAGUGACUGGGUACGUCUUGGUGCCUUGGCAAGUCAGUGCAGCAGAACAAGGAGCGAUGCUGUGUGCUGCUGAAGGGAAACCUGGACUCUGAUGCAAAAGUUCCAAGGAUAACAGCACAGAAGGAGCCAUCAGGGGAAGGUUUGUCCUGGCUUGGCUGAAGAACCUGAUCCAGAGUUCAGGCAACUGACAUGCAGACUUCCAGGUAAUUCACCAGUGCAUUGGGGAAAAGGUUUUGCUGAUUUCAUGUUUACCUGGCAUAUAUUCCUACUCAACUGGGGACAUAUUUCCUGUUCUCGUAUCAACCCUCAAUAUUUGAUGUGACACCUUAGGAAUCCACCUACAGUUUGUUGCUCCUUUUGAUCAGACACUUCUCAAGGAAAUGGGAGGGAAGAGGAGAAAACCUGGGAGGAACCAGAGUGGGAAUCAGGGGGAGUAUAUUAGCAUUUGCUGAGCUGGGCGCAAGAAUCACUCAGGAAAUUAAAAGCAGAAUGAUAUUUUGGGGUGAUAAAACAUUAAAGUAUGAAACUUGCAUUUGACUCAGAUCCAGCCUCAAUUUUUCCUUUUUAAGCUGCAGUUUAGGAAAAGCUGAACACUUGCCAGUGACAAAUGCAGGCUCUGGACUCUUGCAAAAGGGAGAAAGAAUUAAAUUAUGUUAGUUGGUAAUGAAAAGACGUGAGAAAUGCAGAAAGAGGACAAAGGAAAAAGGUAACCAUGGAGGUGAAACAAAAAGGUGCAAGAGUUUCCUUACACCAUGUAUUAAUUAAGGCAAUGCAGUGAUUUUCAGGGCGACGCCAAGCUCACUCAAAGUCUGACCAAAGAGAUCAGGCAAGGUCCUGGGGCCUUUGGCACAGUGCAGGGUGGUGGUGGUGAUGUAUGCCAGUGCCCUGCUCUUGGAUGAAGCCUCAGCUUUCCAUUGGCACAGUUAUAAGCCUUUUGUUCUGUUAGGUUUUUGUUUGGCUGUUAUUAUUUUCCUAUGUUUGGAAAUACACCCAAAGAGGGUGUAAAGCCUGCUGCAAAGGCAGCAUUUAUUUGAUAAAUCAGAUACCCUAUAUGCAAUGUAACAUAAAAGCCUCAUGUUGUUGGUUUGUGCUGAUUUUCCUGUUUUCUGUGUGUGAAUGUGGUUCAAGAAACAGUGUCAGCUCUGCUUACACAAGCUGGGAGUGGCACCCAGCAUUCCCCAUGCCAAAGCUCUGUGGUCCCUGUCCUGCAGGGGCACCAUCCCUGCCCUGUUUGUUUUCAUUCAUCCAGCCUCUUGAGCAGAACGAUCCCCCGAGCAGGCAGUGAUUCAAUCACUGAUUUUCUCUCAUUCCUUUUCACAGCUGUUAUUGGAGGCACAGCUGUCACUACAUCCAUUCAGGGGAAAGAGAUGAUCAAAGAGGAAAAGACAGGAAAACACCAUUUAAGAAAUAAAUGCAAAGUUAUGAUGCCUCUGUUUGCCUGAGAAAGAGAGAUUUUUAUGCAGCUUUUGGCAUUUACAAAUCCUUUGUGAAAAGGUCACCCUGUAGUUGGAAUCUUAUUAAUACAGAAGAACGGCCCAGAAAAUGUCAUGUCUCUUUACCCUGGUAUUUGCCCGGGAAGGAGUGACUCAGCACGCAGGGCUGCUGUGGCAGGGGGCACAGCACGUGCGGGGCUGGCAGAGGUGGCAGUGCCACUGCUGCCCACGACCCUGGAGCAGCGGGUCCGUGUGUGCAACCCUGCAGCUCCCUGGCUGCAGAGGGCAGCCCAUCCACUGCCCACGGCAUGCAGCAUACACUACAUAACCCCCCAAAAAAGGCAAAAUGUAUAACUGUUCUAGAAACAUACACACAGAUUUUAUAGGGGUACGGGUAUAAUCACAUCCAGCAGGGCGUGGGGAUGGAGUUUUGGCAAAUAAAGGCUGUGAGGGCAGUGUGAGAUGCUGCAAGGGGAAGACAGAGUGCACAAUGAAUAAGACAUGAUAAAUGCAUUUCCUCUGGAAAAUCACCAAGAAAAAUUUGAAGUUUGUCUGUCAUCUGCAGUUUAUAUUUCAAUCUUUAAUCUACUGCUUUUAGUUAUGUUUGUGCUCACUUCCUUCAAGGGAAUUUUCGUUCUGUUUGCCUUAGUGGUGACUCAUGUUACCUUUAAUAUGUUUUGGCAGAACUGAGGUGUUUAUUUUAGCAGAGUAGUGGAAACAGUUGUGAGCGUGGUGGCGCUGGCUGCGGCUCCUGCCGUGUCACCGAGUGGGCAAUGCCCUGGCUCAGGCUGACCCGGUGAGCUCUGAGCACACAAUCAAUCACCACCACACCUCACCCUGCGCACAAUUUCUUCAUUUUUAAUAACUGGCACAGUGAAACAUUUUGCCACUUCUGACACGUCACAGACUGAUGCUGAAUGGAGCUGUCUCGUUCAGCAUCUUCUAACCCAUUACAGUGUUUUCAUUUUACUUUUCUCUUUACUGGAGCUGCAAGAGCUCAAGGUGGUGUUUAUAACAGAGAACAACUGUGAUACACCACCUCUGACUGGGGAACUUCUCAAUAUCAGCGCUUCUUUCAUUUUUAUUUCCCGUGGGAUUUAAGGUUGCUGCUGCCCUGUCCUGUGACCCAAACAUUGUUUUCCUCUCAGGACACAGAUCUAGCAUGAACGCUCAUGAAAGGACACACAUUGUCCCUUGGUUAUUCGUGCAUCACUGCUCACUCACAAGCUGACUGAAUUCUGCAAAGCUGUGGGCAGAAAGCCUCUGGUGCUCACCUCCACAUCCAGCAUCAUGCCAGUGAAAGAUUUUACAGGAAUGUAAUUGCAUUCCACGAUGAAAUAUCCCCAGUCUGGGUUUUCAGAACCACACCCAAUUCUUUAAGAGCAUUUCCCUUCCACUGCAGCUACACAGCCUGAGUACCACAUCACUCCUCCUUUACCCCUUUUCCCCCAGCCCACCCCAGGUGCCUCUCACCAUCACCUUCCUGGUCCUCAGGCUCUGCUGCUCACUGGGGAAUGGCUGUCACUGCCACUGCUGCUGCCACUCAUGAAAGCACAAAGGAAAAUUGACAGACAGCAAGCAAACCAAUGGCUUCUGAAUCCAGCUGCAGAGCCCCAAGUGAAGGUCACCCAGAGCUCUGUGUGGGAGCUGUUGGUGUUCAUAUUUGUAAAGCCUUUUGUGAGCACUGUAACGAUGAAUGGUGACGGCUCAUGUUGGUGUGCCUGUGUACACACACACACACACAGACCCCCCCACGUUGGAACACUAUGCCAAAGAAAUUAUGUUUCACAUAAUUUCUAGUGUCAUCUUUGAUUAAUUUGCGUUUAUUUUCUCAUUAUGACUCAUCCCUCAUUUCAAAGGUGUCCUUCCAACCAGAACAUGGGAAGAGGACCAAGAAGUGACAGGCAGCAAGGAAUAAUCUUAAGGCAAAGCCCAGGAAAGCCAUUCCCACUGCCACAUCUCUGGUUUAGCACUCCCACCCCACUUCCCACAGGCAGUUUCCUCUUUGGAGAACUUGUUUUCCCAGAGCUGAAUCAUCGUGUCCCAAGGGCCACAGAUUCCCCUGUCACCCUUAUCAGUCAAGGAACAAAGAAAUGCCUAAAUCAGUGAGAUUAGCCAUGGGUCAUUUGACAGCUACGCAGAGUCACAAUAUGCAGAAAUACAAACAGCCCAGUGCCAUUUAUGCACCUUGUCAGCCCCCCUGCCCCACUGUGAUGUGUCUGGGCCACUCUGUGUUGAUUGCCACAGCUCAGUGCUGAACGGGCUGCAGGACAUGUCCCCAGUGCUGUGACCCUUGCUCUCCCCCUGCCCAGGGUGGCCACCUCUGCCAUUGUGCAGUAAAUCACAGCUCCACUGGCCACAGUAUUGUUGGUGAAAUGGCUGGAGAACAUCAUAAACAGAACUCGUCUGGGGAGAUAUUUCAUCUCAAGCUUUGAUGGCGAGGUCAGCACUCCUCAAACACAUCUUCAGCUGCAGGUCAGCCCUCUCUGCACUCUAUUUUGAGAUCUCCAUACCCCAUUUGCUAACCCUGAAGCAGUCACAAGACCCUGUGGACUCCUGUCUCUCCCUAAAAUCCUGCCCAAACCUGCUGUCUCUGGAGGCACAAGUGGGUGCUAGAAAACGUGAGCUCACCUUUCUGCUCAUGUGUGAACUGUACAACACAGACACAGCUUGUUCUUUGCCUAAUACAGAAUUAAACGUUAUGCAACUCACUGAGUGAUAUGUUUUGUCCCACGAGAGAUUUGCUUCAGAAAUACAAAGACAGAAAAAUACUCAACUGUCAUUAUCAUGCCAGUUUUUAAUCAGCUGGGAAAUGCUGCUUCUUCCCCCAAAAGAGCAGGCUGGAUAGAAACAAUGUUCUACCUCUGCCUCCCCCAACACUGCUUCCUUUUCCCACAGAAAUUUUCCAUUUUAAUUAGAUUCCUUUAUUACCACCCUCUUUUCUAGCAUAUCUUUUCUUGCUGUUAAACUUUUUUCCCUCUACAUAUCUAUUUUUCAUUUUCUUCAAUUGCCAAGAGCUACAGCAUGUGUCCAUGUGCAUGUGCUGGGGGAAGGAGAAGAAAGAGAUAAGAAAGGAAUAAAAAGAGAGAAAAGAUGGGGAAAAUGAAUCUGAUAAUUGUUGGAAAGAAUUGUUGCCAGCAGCAAAAGUGCUGAAAAGCCACUUUCAUGAAACCAGAAAGUUUUCCUAUUUUGCCAGGAUGGAGGUGACACCCACAGGCCCUUCCCCACCCUGGCUGCACCCCAAAAGCGCAGGGGGCAGUGAAACCCUGAGUGCCUGUACAGCCUCUGCUCUGCCGUAAGGAUUCAUGCAGAGAACAAACCAAGCAGAAAUAAGCAACCUCUGGUUUCUAAGCCACUCCAGCUCACUGACAGCUCUGGCCCACCAUGCUGAGGAGGGGGAUGCCCAUGAGCAGUGUGGGGCUGCUGGCCCCAGAGCUGUGCUGUGCAAGUGCUGAUUUGUGUCUUUCCUUGAUGCACGUUAAAGCUUACAUUUGCAUUCCAACUCCAAUGAAAAAUUUAUGACUGUUAAACUUCUGUAUGUCAUAAUUAAACACAAACAAUAAUUUCCAAAUAACUGUUUACCAUGCUGCAUAUUCAAUUGUGCAAUCAAUCUCAGUGACUCUUUUUCCUUGCAGAGGAAGGGAGGCGGGCUGUACCCGCCACACGCGCUCGCACCCAGCCCGUGGAAGAUGAAGAGUCAAUCUGACAUUUCAGGAGAGAGCAGUUACCUGUGGAAUAAAUAGAUUGAAGCCCUGUCAUUCCCAAAUAGAUGCCACCUCCUCCUGCUAUUUGUUUGGAGGAAGCCUCCCAGAGAGAUGGAUGGGACAACUGCUGUUCAAACAUUAAUCUUAAUGCAGAGAGAGAGGGAAGCAGCUGCUUGCAGAGCUCUGCCAAGGGACCUGCAAGGAACGUGUGUGAGGUGGUCCCAGCCCUGCCCCAGGGAUGGCCCCACAGCCAGGACCUGCUCUGGGAGGGGACAGGGACCAAGUGACCAGCAGAGACCCCCCGUGCUUGUGACAAGCUCUAGCAACAAGCAGGCAAGGGGAUGAGCAGGGAAAGCUCCACUGAAAACCGGCAGAGGAAAAAGACCUUGGCCUGAGGGUAAGGUCCUGCCAGAGGCCCCGUCCCUGGGCAUUGCCACCCUUGCCAGCUCAGGUGGCUUUGCUGGCAGUGCCCAGGGCGGCCAGUGAGGACCAGGGCAGCUGUGGGAGCUGAGGAGGCAGCUCAUGCUGAGUCAGUGGCACUGUAAGCCAGGUACUGCUGGCAUUCAGAGCAGCCUCUUUCCUUUGUGGCAUAAAACCUGCACUGGUGACCUGUCAAUGGGUGCCAAUUGGUGGUGGCUUCACAGGGAACUGCAUUUGUCCUGGAAACAAGGAAAAUAAAAGAUAUAAUGGAGUUCAGUGGUGCAAUACAAAUAACAAUGUCCUUUUACAUUACUAACAACACACUCUACGCUGUCUGGCUCCCUGUUCUCCUGAGGACACCACUAAGAAGCUCUCUGUAAAUAGGAUGUCUCAGUCAAUGUGCUCUCCCAAAGACUGCAUUAAUCACCCUUUGUGAAUGCAGUCUCGGGGGCAAG
Long non-coding RNA from Zonotrichia albicollis (white-throated sparrow), 11140 nucleotides. RefSeq lists it as uncharacterized. Lineage: Eukaryota; Metazoa; Chordata; Aves; Passeriformes; Passerellidae. The record is from RefSeq and is a predicted model, not a curated record.